This 465-nucleotide ribosomal RNA is filed under the name Vreelandella stevensii. Its description in RNAcentral is "partial 16S ribosomal RNA". It matches the Rfam family "Bacterial small subunit ribosomal RNA", at positions 338 to 795 of the family's 1533-position model. Lineage: Bacteria; Pseudomonadati; Pseudomonadota; Gammaproteobacteria; Oceanospirillales; Halomonadaceae. The record is from RNAcentral.
CCUACGGGAGGCAGCAGUGGGGAAUAUUGGACAAUGGGGGCAACCCUGAUCCAGCCAUGCUGCGUGUGUGAAGAAGGCCCUCGGGUUGUAAAGCACUUUCAGUGAGGAAGAACGCCUGGUGGUUAAUACCCAUCAGGAAAGACAUCACUCACAGAAGAAGCACCGGCUAACUCCGUGCCAGCAGCCGCGGUAAUACGGAGGGUGCGAGCGUUAAUCGGAAUUACUGGGCGUAAAGCGCGCGUAGGUGGCUUGAUAAGCCGGUUGUGAAAGCCCCGGGCUCAACCUGGGAACGGCAUCCGGAACUGUCAAGCUAGAGUGCAGGAGAGGAAGGUAGAAUUCCCGGUGUAGCGGUGAAAUGCGUAGAGAUCGGGAGGAAUACCAGUGGCGAAGGCGGCCUUCUGGACUGACACUGACACUGAGGUGCGAAAGCGUGGGUAGCAAACAGGAUUAGAUACCCCUGUAGUC